This 378-nucleotide unclassified non-coding RNA is filed under the name Hevea brasiliensis (rubber tree). The record is from RNAcentral. Lineage: Eukaryota; Viridiplantae; Streptophyta; Magnoliopsida; Malpighiales; Euphorbiaceae.
GAGAACACAAAGGCAAUUAUUAAUUAUCAAAAUUCUCAAUUUUUAUCUUAUCUUAAUCACAACUUAAGGAGUCUGAAAUUAGAUGGAUAUUUAUCGUUACAUAAGAAUUCAGGAUGAGAAUUGUAAUUUCUCAAGAAUCAAUUAAAAAUUUCAAUUAAAAGACCAACUUCUCAUAAGUAGUCAUGCUAUAAAGUCACUCUAGUUUUUAUACAAGAAUGUCACUCUAGUUUUUUAUACAAGAAUGUCACAGAACGGCUCCUCAGGGAAUAAAAACUCUUAAAACUGAAAUUGAAAUUCAACUAUUAAGCUUCUUCAGUGACUACAUUCUUCCAUGGCUGGUGAAAAGUAGGCGUCAAGUUACCUAGUUCAAAAUAUAAU